GCUCCUCCCUCCGCGUUGGAGGCGGAAUAGUGGGUUUUGCUGCAACCGGUUUUCUUUCUGUUUUCACCCAUUCUGGCACAAUCCGGCGCCAUCGUCCUUCUUGUGAGGCCAAGCCUGAAAAUGCGAAGCAGAGAGGCAGAACCAAAAUUGAGGCGAAUCCGGGAACCUGCCAAUGGGUCUCCGGGUGCGGUCUCUGAAACUGGAGGAUAUCAGGAGGAAAGGCUCUCCGAUGCGGAGAGAAUGGGGAAGCUCUUGGCAUGGUUGGCUGUAGGUGUGUGAUACCGGAGGAGCAGGAGUCAAAUAGGAUACGCCGACUUUUAAUUCAAGGAACCCUUUUCUGAAACACUUUGCCACAAUGAAGGAAAUAAGAUUACAGCCGAAAAGAUACAUAUUAAGGUAUUACUUAUUCACACCAGUUUUCCAUUAUAAUAUGCUUAUAUCUUCUCUGAAUGGAAUUAAUAGCUUUUGGUUAUGGUUCCUUAAAAGUCACAUGGCCUAAGGAUAGAUAGUCAAGGAACUUUGGAAAAAUUCGUCCCUGGGGGAUGUGCAGGGCAAAUACUUUUU
This 564-nucleotide non-coding RNA is filed under the name Pongo abelii (Sumatran orangutan). Lineage: Eukaryota; Metazoa; Chordata; Mammalia; Primates; Hominidae. The record is from RNAcentral.